This 345-nucleotide ribosomal RNA is filed under the name Eleutherodactylus cochranae. Its description in RNAcentral is "partial 12S ribosomal RNA". It matches the Rfam family "Bacterial small subunit ribosomal RNA", at positions 871 to 1384 of the family's 1533-position model. Lineage: Eukaryota; Metazoa; Chordata; Amphibia; Anura; Eleutherodactylidae. The record is from RNAcentral.
GCCAGGGAACUACGAGCAAAGCUUAAAACCCAAAGGACUUGACGGUGCCCAUAUCCCACUAGAGGAGCCUGUCCUAUAAUCGAUGAUCCCCGUUUAACCUCACCCCUCCUGGCUAAUCAGCCUGUAUAUUUCCGUCGCAAACUAACCACAUGAGUGAAACUCAGUUAGUUCUAGGAUCCUACCAUCAACACGUCAGGUCAAAAUGCAGCAAAUGGAGUGGAAAGAGAUUGGCUACACUUUUUAAUAUAAAAGAAAACGAAAGACAAUAAUGAAACUUUGUCAGAAGGCGGAUUUAGCAGUAAAAAAAAUUCAUAAUAUUUAUUUGAAACCGGCACUGGAGCGUGU